UACGUAGGGUGCGAGCGUUAAUCGGAAUUACUGGGCGUAAAGCGUGCGCAGGCGGUUCGUUGUGUCCGAUGUGAAAGCCCCGGGCUUAACCUGGGAAUGGCCAUGGAAACUGGCGAACUGGAGUGUGGCAGAGGGGGGUGGAAUUCCGCGUGUAGCAGUGAAAUGCGUAGAGAUGCGGAGGAACACCGAUGGCGAAGGCAGCCCCCUGGGCUAGCACUGACGCUCAGGCACGAAAGCGUGGGGAGCAAACAGG
This 253-nucleotide ribosomal RNA is filed under the name uncultured bacterium. Its description in RNAcentral is "partial 16S ribosomal RNA". It matches the Rfam family "Bacterial small subunit ribosomal RNA", at positions 524 to 776 of the family's 1533-position model. The record is from RNAcentral.